RNAcentral lists this ribosomal RNA (497 nucleotides) under uncultured bacterium. RNAcentral describes it as "partial 16S ribosomal RNA". It matches the Rfam family "Bacterial small subunit ribosomal RNA", at positions 28 to 507 of the family's 1533-position model. The record is from RNAcentral.
GAUGAACGCUGGCGGCGUGCCUAAUACAUGCAAGUCGAGCGAACAGACGAGGAGCUUGCUCCUCUGACGUUAGCGGCGGACGGGUGAGUAACACGUGGAUAACCUACCUAUAAGACUGGGAUAACUUCGGGAAACCGGAGCUAAUACCGGAUAAUAUAUUGAACCGCAUGGUUCAAUAGUGAAAGACGGUUUUGCUGUCACUUAUAGAUGGAUCCUCGCCGCAUUAGCUAGUUGGUAAGGUAACGGCUUACCAAGGCAACGAUGCGUAGCCGACCUGAGAGGGUGAUCGGCCACACUGGAACUGAGACACGGUCCAGACGCCUACGGGAGGCAGCAGUAGGGAAGCUUCCGCAAUGGGCGAAAGCUUGACGGAGCAACGCCGCGUGAGUGAUGAAGGUCUGCGGAUCGUAAAACUCUGUUAUUAGGGAAGAACAAAUGUGUAAGUAACUAUGCACGUCUUGACGGUACCUAAUCAGAAAGCCACGGCUAACUACGUG